AUAAUCAUAAUUAAUGACGGUAUCAACAGAAGAAGCACCGGCUAACUACGUGCCAGCAGCCGCGGUAAUACGUAGGGUGCGAGCGUUAAUCGGAAUUACUGGGCGUAAGGUGCGCAGGCGGUGUAAGUCAUGUGAAAUCCCCGGGCUUAACCUGGGAAUUGCGUUUGAAACUAUAUGACUAGAGUGUAACAGAGGGAAGUGGAAUACCAUGUGUAGCAGUGAAAUGCGUAGAGAUAUGGAGGAACAUCGAUGGCGAAGGCAGCUUCCUGGGUUAACACUGACGCUCAUGUACGAAAGCGUGGGGAGCAAACAGGAUUAGAUACCCUGGUAGUCCACGC
Molecule: ribosomal RNA, 338 nt
Filed under: uncultured beta proteobacterium
Lineage: Bacteria; Pseudomonadati; Pseudomonadota; Betaproteobacteria
Description: bacterial SSU rRNA
Rfam family: Bacterial small subunit ribosomal RNA
Source: RNAcentral